This 447-nucleotide ribosomal RNA is filed under the name uncultured bacterium. RNAcentral's name for it is "bacterial SSU rRNA". It matches the Rfam family "Bacterial small subunit ribosomal RNA", at positions 355 to 825 of the family's 1533-position model. The record is from RNAcentral.
UGGGGAAUCUUGGACAAUGGGCGCAAGCCUGAUCCAGCCAUGCCGCGUGAGUGAUGAAGGCCUUAGGGUUGUAAAGCUCUUUUGCCGGGGACGAUAAUGACGGUACCCGGAGAAUAAGUCCCGGCUAACUUCGUGCCAGCAGCCGCGGUAAUACGAAGGGACCAAGCGUUGUUCGGAUUUACUGGGCGUAAAGGGCGCGUAGGCGGCAAUUCAAGUCAUCUGUGAAAUCUCCGGGCUUAACUCGGAACGGUCAGAUGAUACUGCUUUGCUAGAGUGCAGAAGGGGCAAUCGGAAUUCUUGGUGUAGCGGUGAAAUGCGUAGAUAUCAAGAGGAACACCUGAGGUGAAGACGGGUUGCUGGGCUGACACUGACGCUGAGGCGCGAAAGCCAGGGGAGCAAACGGGAUUAGAUACCCACGUAGUCCCUGAGCGGGCUGGCAAGGCGCAU